ACGGCAACACAAGAGGGGCGGCACCUCGGUCUUGUGGAGGAGUUUGGAGGAGCAGUCGAGGGAGAAAGAAGAAGGACGUCCACGAGCGCAGAAAUUGAUACGCCCCUGGAGAGGAAAAAAGGGGGACAGAGAUGCUUCGAGGGGAAGAGGGACUGCAAUCUUCAACAUCACCUACAUAGGACAUAGGUAAAUUUCCUUUUCUUCUUUUAUUGGUACCAUAGACAAUCCAGUGAAGCAGUAUAUUUGACUAGGGAGAUUGAGUAGCAUUCAGUUAACAGUACGUACAAGUUCAAAUAAAAAUCAGUUGCAACUUGGAACUCUAACACACAUGAGAUAAAACUCGGAAGAACAAAAUUAAUUAGGUUGGCUUCGGUUGAUUGAGAAAGAAUUGAUUUUGUCCUCUCAUCAAACUAGUGUCAGAGGUCCCAAUUGCCCCUUGCACUAACGGAUUCAACACUGAAUGUUGUUGUUGUAAAUAUGUAUGCAUGUGAUUUGUUGGAUGACCCUGUGUAGGAAAUAAGAAAAGUUCGGUUUCAUUUAGGAUAUAAAAGUAGAAGAGUUCAUCACUUUAUGGCCACUGCUUCUUCUGAUGCUAAAACCGCAUACUUGUUAUAAAAUAAAUAAGCUUCCUCUUAUAAAAAUUUCAUGCCAAGCUUUAGUACCCUUCUGUCAUCUACUGCAGUUUCUUGAUCCUAUGUCAGUUAGGAUUCAAUUUAGUCCAUGAACUAUAUGCAUUGUAAAAGGAACAGAAAAAACUGUAGUGGGUGUUUUCCAAAAACUGAAAUCUGAGAUGGUACAAAAAGUGUGAAUGUGCAACUAAAUGUGAAAAUGCAACGAAACUAAUUUUCCGUUGUUGUUUGGCUUUUGCAGCUUGCGGCUUUUGUCGCUGAUUCAUCAUCAGAACUCAGUGAGAUUUCUUACUUUAGGUACAUGAGAUUGUUCAUCAACGUCGUGGUUCUCUGGAACACUCCUUGGAGAAGCCAUCAGGGAUGCAAGACUCGGAGAAGCCAUCAGGGACGGAGAUUCCUUUGCUACUCAAUUCAAAAGAAGAAUUUGUUGAUUCCUGGUUAGGCCGCCAUUGAUAGUUGUGCGUUUUAAGGCUGUAGGUCACUUUCGCCUAAUAUGAGAAGUAGAUCUUACAUGUUGGCGCCCUUUUUGUAUUAGGAGGUUCUUUUCCCGGGUGAUUGGAUUCUUUCCCGUUGGUUUGUGUGCAGUUUUAAUGAUGAGAGUAUUACGAAAGGGAAUCAGUAUUAUGCUGUG
RNAcentral lists this long non-coding RNA (1260 nucleotides) under Hordeum vulgare. Its description in RNAcentral is "long non-coding RNA (HVUL_LNC013050)". Lineage: Eukaryota; Viridiplantae; Streptophyta; Magnoliopsida; Poales; Poaceae. The record is from RNAcentral.